CACGGAAGUUUUCAGAGAUGAGAAUGUGCCUUCGGGAACCGUGAGACAGGUGCUGCAUGGCUGUCGUCAGCUCGUGUUGUGAAAUGUUGGGUUAAGUCCCGCAACGAGCGCAACCCUUAUCCUUUGUUGCCAGCGGUUAGGCCGGGAACUCAAAGGAGACUGCCAGUGAUAAACUGGAGGAAGGUGGGGAUGACGUCAAGUCAUCAUGGCCCUUACGACCAGGGCUACACACGUGCUACAAUGGCGCAUACAAAGAGAAGCGACCUCGCGAGAGCAAGCGGACCUCAUAAAGUGCGUCGUAGUCCGGAUUGGAGUCUGCAACUCGACUCCAUGAAGUCGGAAUCGCUAGUAAUCGUGGAUCAGAAUGCCACGGUGAAUACGUUCCCGGGCCUUGUACACACCGCCCGUCACACCAUGGGAGUGGGUUGCAAAAGAAGUAGGUAGCUUAACCUUCGGGAGGGCGCUUACCACUUUGUGAUUCAUGACUGGGGUGAAGUCGUAACAAGGUAACCGUAGGGGAACCUGC
Molecule: ribosomal RNA, 526 nt
Filed under: Salmonella enterica subsp. enterica serovar Derby
Lineage: Bacteria; Pseudomonadati; Pseudomonadota; Gammaproteobacteria; Enterobacterales; Enterobacteriaceae
Description: bacterial SSU rRNA
Rfam family: Bacterial small subunit ribosomal RNA
Source: RNAcentral